UAUUUUCUGCUAACAUAUGAAAGAUUAAUAUUACUUUGCUUUCAAGUGUUUUCUUGGUUCAAACCCAUCAGACCUGUAAACAAAGAGCUUUAGCUCAGAGAUUUGUUGUUAGUUACAAAUUACAGUAUUCUCACUUGUUGUCACUUCUCCUGAUUCUAGACAAACACUCUGUGGGAGGCCAGGUCACUCUCCAGACAAGCAGAAUCAUUUACAAUAUGAACCAUGAACUAGUGCCAUAUUUUUAUUCAGUAGCACUGGAAAUGAAUGUAAGAGCAAGAGACAGAAUGAAAAAUGUUCAUGCUAUUACAAGAUAUGUAAAGGUGCAGAAGGGAAGAGGAAAUCUCUGCAGACAGCAGAUAAUUGGAGAACUGACAAUAUUGUCUGAAUGGAUGACUGUUGCCUGCCAUGUUAGUUGAAGACCCUGAAUACUUCCAGGUGAAACCAAUGUAAGACAGCAAGCAGACUAGCUGAUUAAGGAUUGACACUGAAAACAAAACCCUAAUUUUGUGUCGAUUCUCUGUCCCAAAA
Non-coding RNA from Pelodiscus sinensis (Chinese soft-shelled turtle), 528 nucleotides. Lineage: Eukaryota; Metazoa; Chordata; Testudines; Trionychidae. The record is from RefSeq and is a predicted model, not a curated record.